This 837-nucleotide ribosomal RNA is filed under the name Triticum aestivum (bread wheat). RNAcentral's name for it is "partial small subunit ribosomal RNA". The record is from RNAcentral. Lineage: Eukaryota; Viridiplantae; Streptophyta; Magnoliopsida; Poales; Poaceae.
AUGGAAGGAUGGCAUCCGGUUGCGUACCUCAGCAAAGCGUUGGCUCCACGAAAUUUAGGCCUAUCGGCAUACAAGAAAGAGUGCUUGGUUCUGCUUCUGGCCAUCGACCACUGGUGGCCCUAUCUACAGCAUUCAGAGUUCAUGGUCCGCACCGAUCAAAACAGCCUGCUGAACCUGAUGGACCAAUGGCUCAACACCCCAAUUCAGCAAAGGGCGUUUACGAAGCUGAUUGGCCUUCAAUACACCAUUCAGUACAAAACGGGAGUGACAAAUCGAGCGGCUGAUGUGCUGUCACGACGCGAACACAAACCAGAGGCAGAAAUGGCCGUUAUCUCCAUCUGUAAACCUACCUGGCUGGAAGCUAUUAAGCGCAGCUAUCAGACAGAUCCACUGGCACAGCAACGCAUGACAAAGCUAGCACUGGUGCCGGACAGCGAGCCUGACUACACCUCCCAGGAUGACAUUCUGCACUGCCGAGGGAGAGUGUGGAUUGGAGAAGAUACUGACACCCAACAACACUUGAUACGAGCUCUCCAUGACAGUGCCGCGGGCGGGCAUUCGGGCUUCCAUGCCACCUACAACCGAGUCAAGCGACUGUUCGCAUGGAAAGGGAUGAAGCUGCAUGUCAAGGCCUUGGUGCGCAACUGUUGGUCUGCUAGCAAGCAAAAACAGAGCGCAUCUCCCCAGCUGGACUUCUCCAACCAUUGCCAAUACCACAAGAACCCUGGUCAGUUAUCUUGCUUGAUUUCAUUGAAGGGUAGCCCCGGUCAGGAGGGUACGACACUGUUCUGGUGGCGGUGGAUAAGUUCUCCAAAUACGCACAUUUCGUGCCUCUGA